AGUUUUGAUCCUGGCUCAGGACGAACGCUGGCGGCGUGCUUAACACAUGCAAGUCGAACGAUGAACCACUUCGGUGGGGAUUAGUGGCGAACGGGUGAGUAACACGUGGGCAAUCUGCCCUGCACUCUGGGACAAGCCCUGGAAACGGGGUCUAAUACCGGAUACUGAACCUUGCAGGCAUCUGUGAGGGUCGAAAGCUCCGGCGGUGCAGGAUGAGCCCGCGGCCUAUCAGCUAGUUGGUGAGGUAAUGGCUCACCAAGGCGACGACGGGUAGCCGGCCUGAGAGGGCGACCGGCCACACUGGGACUGAGACACGGCCCAGACUCCUACGGGAGGCAGCAGUGGGGAAUAUUGCACAAUGGGCGAAAGCCUGAUGCAGCGACGCCGCGUGAGGGAUGACGGCCUUCGGGUUGUAAACCUCUUUCAGCAGGGAAGAAGCGAAAGUGACGGUACCUGCAGAAAGAAGCGCCGGCUAACUACGUGCCAGCAGCCGCGGUAAUACGUAGGGCGCAAGCGUUGUCCGGAAUUAUUGGGCGUAAAGAGCUCGUAGGCGGCUUGUCACGUCGGUUGUGAAAGCCCGGGGCUUAACCCCGGGUCUGCAGUCGAUACGGGCAGGCUAGAGUUCGGUAGGGGAGAUCGGAAUUCCUGGUGUAGCGGUGAAAUGCGCAGAUAUCAGGAGGAACACCGGUGGCGAAGGCGGAUCUCUGGGCCGAUACUGACGCUGAGGAGCGAAAGCGUGGGGAGCGAACAGGAUUAGAUACCCUGGUAGUCCACGCCGUAAACGGUGGGCACUAGGUGUGGGCAACAUUCCACGUUGUCCGUGCCGCAGCUAACGCAUAAGUGCCCC
Molecule: ribosomal RNA, 847 nt
Filed under: Streptomyces malachitospinus
Lineage: Bacteria; Bacillati; Actinomycetota; Actinomycetes; Kitasatosporales; Streptomycetaceae
Description: bacterial SSU rRNA
Rfam family: Bacterial small subunit ribosomal RNA
Source: RNAcentral